Molecule: ribosomal RNA, 232 nt
Filed under: uncultured bacterium
Lineage: Bacteria
Description: partial 16S ribosomal RNA
Rfam family: Bacterial small subunit ribosomal RNA
Source: RNAcentral
CGGGGUGAGUAACGCGUGGGUAACCUGCCUUAUACAGGGGGAUAACAGUCAGAAAUGGCUGCUAAUACCGCAUAAGCGCACAGAGCUGCAUGGCUCAGUGUGAAAAACUCCGGUGGUAUAAGAUGGACCCGCGUUGGAUUAGCUAGUUGGUGGGGUAACGGCCCACCAAGGCGACGAUCCAUAGCCGGCCUGAGAGGGUGAACGGCCACAUUGGGACUGAGACACGGCCCAG